This 551-nucleotide ribosomal RNA is filed under the name uncultured bacterium. Its description in RNAcentral is "partial 16S ribosomal RNA". It matches the Rfam family "Bacterial small subunit ribosomal RNA", at positions 355 to 897 of the family's 1533-position model. The record is from RNAcentral.
UAGGGAAUCUUCCACAAUGGACGCAAGUCUGAUAGAGCAACGCCGCGUGAGUGAAGAAGGUUUUCGGACCGUAAAGCUCUGUUGUUGGUGAAGAAGGAUAGAGGUAGUAACUGGCCUUUAUUUGACGGUAAUCAACCAGAAAGUCACGGCUAACUACGUGCCAGCAGCCGCGGUAAUACGUAGGUGGCAAGCGUUGUCCGGAUUUAUUGGGCGUAAAGCGAGCGCAGGCGGAAGAAUAAGUCUGAUGUGAAAGCCCUCGGCUUAACCGAGGAAUUGCAUCGGAAACUGUUUUCUUGAGUGCAGAAGAGGAGAGUAGAACUCCAUGUGUAGCGGUGGAAUGCGUAGAUAUAUGGAAGAAUACCAGUGGCGAAGGCGGCUCUCUGGUCUGCAACUGACGCUGAGGCUCGAAAGCAUGGGUAGCGAACAGGAUUAGAUACCCUGGUAGUCCAUGCCGUAAACGAUGAGUGCUAAGUGUUGGGAGGCUUCCGCCUCUCAGUGCUGCAGCUAACGCAUUAAGCACUCCGCCUGGGGGAGUACGACCGCAAGGUUGA